CCUUUGCUGUGCCAAAGCUUGUCAGUUUGAUUAGGUCCCAUUGGUUUAUUUUUUCUUUUAUUUCUGUUGCCUCAGGAGACUGACCUGAGGAAAAACAUUUGUAAGGUUGAUAGCAGAGAAUGUUUUGCCUAUGUUCUCUUCUAGGAGUUUGAUGGUGUCUUGUCUUAUGUUUAAAUCUUUAAGCCAUUAUGAGUUUAUUUUUGGGCAUGGCGUGAGGGUGUGUUCCAGUUUAAUUGAUUUACAUGUUUUCCCAUACCACUUACUGAAAAGACUGUCUUGUUCACAUUUUAUAUUCUUGCCUCCUUUGUCAAAGAUUAAUUGACCAUAGGUGUCUGGGUUUAUUUCUGGGUUCUCUAGUCUGUUCCAUUGGUCUGUAUGUCUGUUUGGGGACCAGUACCACACUCUUUUGAUUACUGUGGCUUUGUAAUACUGCCUGAAGUCUAGGAGAGUUAUGCCUCCUGCUUGGUUUUUAUUUCUCAGGAUUGCUUUGGCAAUUCUGGGUCUUUAAUGGUUCCAUAUAAAUUUUUGGAUCAUUAACACAUUUAUAAGUAUGUAUACUUAUUCAGAUUAAUUUUCACUAUAGUUUAAGUACUGAAUAUAGUUGCCUAAGCUAUAUAGUAGGACCUAGUUUAUCUAUUUUAUAUGUAGUAGCUGUAUCUCCUAAUCCCAAAUUCCUAAUUUAUUUCCCUCCUUCCACCUUUGGUAACCAUAAGUUUUCUAUCUGUGAGUCUGUUUCUUUUGUAAAUAAGUUCAUUUAUGUCAUUUUUUUAGAUUCCACAUAUAAGUGAUAUCAUAUGAUAGUUGUCUUUCUCUGACUUAAUAUCUCUAGGUCUAUUUGUGUUGCUGCAAAUGGCAUUAUUUCAUUCUCUUUUUAUGGCUGAGUAAUAUUUCGGUGUGUGUGUGUGUACACCCACAUCUUUAUCCAUUCAUUUGUCAAUGAACAUUUAGUUUGCUUCCAUGUCUUCGUUAUGUAAAUCAUACUGCAGUGAACAUAGGGGUACCUCUUUUUGAAUUAGAGUCUUUUCAGGAUUCCUAUCGUGGCUCAGCAGGUUAUGAACAUGGCAUAGUAUUUGAGAGGAUGCGGGUUCGGUUCCCGGCCUUGCUCAUUGGGUUAAGGAUCUGGCAUUGCCACAAACUGCAGUGUAGGUCACAGAUAUGGCUCACAUCUGGUGUUGCCAUGGUUGUGGUGUAGGCUGGCAGCUGCAGCUCUGAUUUGACCCCUAGCCUGGAAUUUCCAUAUGCCGCGGGUGAGGCCAUAAAAGAAAAAAAUUAAAGUAUUGACGGUAGAAUUAGAGUUUUCUCCAGAUGCAUGAUCAAGAGUUGGAUUGCAGGGUCAUAUGGUAACUCUGUUUUUAGUUUUUAAGGAACCUCCAUACUGUUCUCCAUAUUGGCUGUACAAAUUUGCAUUUCCACUAACAGUGUGGGAGGGUUCCUUUUUCUCCACACAGAGAGUUAUUUAUUGUUAUCUAACUUAUAUGAUAGUGUAUAAUCUUAAGUGUACAGCUAGAUUAAUUUCUGCACAUAUUUAUACCCGUUAAAGCAUUAUCCAGAUCAAGAUAUAGAACAUUGCCAAGACCCUAGCAAGUUCUUUGUGGGCCCCUUCAGUCAAUAUGCCCUCAAAGUAACCAUUCUGAACUUAAUCACCAUAUAUUAGUUUGGGCCAUUCUUGAAAUUCAGAUCAAUGGAAUCAUAUAGUAUGUACUUUUGCGUAUGGCUUCUUUUGCUUAAAAUUAGGCCUGUGACAUUUAUCCAUUUUGCUGUAUUGGACCUUUUUUCUCCCAUUGCUGUGCAGUAUUCUCAGAAUAUAGCAAGAUUUAUGCAGCCAUUCUAAUCUUAAUGGACAUUUGGAUUGUUUCCAGUUUGGGGCUAUAAAGCAUCAUUUUUGCAUAGAUCUUUUGGAGACUGUAAGUACUCAUUUCUGUUGGGUAUACACCCAGGAGUAGAAUUGAUGGAUUCUAGGGUAUACAUUUGUUCACUGUAGUGGAAACUGCUGGUUUACCAAAGUGGCUGAACCAAAAACAAAACAAAAACAACCAGAAUGGUUGAACCAAUUUACGUUCUCAUUAGCAGUGUAUAGGGGUUCUCACAUGUCUACAAUUUUUUUUUUUUGAUAACAUUGAAUAGGAUCAGUUCUUUUCAUUUUUUACCAUUCUGACGCAGAUGUAAUAGAGAUUUUGACUUCCUAAUUUGAGUAUUUUGACCUUUUGUUCCACUGUUAAAAUGUCUUAUACUGACCAUCAUGGUGUAGGAAAUAUAUCUGAAAGAAGUUUGAAGAAAAAGCCCUUGAGCAAACAAGUAUUAAUUGAGUCCUUCCCAUGAGCUACGUGCUAUUCUAGGUACAAGGGAUACAUCAUUACACUCUAGGGUACAGACAGACAAAAAAAUAAGAGACAUACUAAGUAAAUUAUACAGUGUAUCAGAAAGUUAUAAAUGCUGUGGACAAAGGAAGGAAAGGAGGAUGUGGAGGGUUAGGAGUUGAGGGAUGUUGCCUUUUUAGACAGGAAGGUCAAGUAGAGUCCCCAGCUGAGUGGCAUUUGAGCCAGUGUCAAAGAGAGGUGAGAGAAUAAGUCAUGAAGGUACCCAGGGGAAGAGCACUCUAGGCAGAGGGAGGGCUAAGACAGGAGCAUGCUUGGCAUGUUGAAAGAAUUGUAAGAAAGCCAGUAUGGUUGGAGUGAGUCAAGUGGACAGGAAAUCUCUCCUUCUUCUCAAGAGGCACCAAACCUAUUAUUGAAUCAGAGCCCUAUCCUUAGGACCUCAUUUAACCUUAAUUACCCCCAUAAAGGUCCUGUCUCCAAAUACAGUCACAUUGGGGGUUAAGGCUUCAACAUAUGAAUAUGGGGCAAGGGGGUUGGGGGGGGAAAGUUGGGUCUAUUGGAGCUUGCAAGGUGAAAUUUUCAACCUGUUAACAUUCUCAAACAUACCAAGGCUGAAGAGAUAACCUUGCACAUUAACCAUGUAUUAUUUGCAUUAGUGCAUCUGAAGGUUUGCUGUUGAUAUAA
RNAcentral lists this long non-coding RNA (2999 nucleotides) under Sus scrofa (pig). Its description in RNAcentral is "lncRNA (ENSSSCG00000056004.1)". Lineage: Eukaryota; Metazoa; Chordata; Mammalia; Artiodactyla; Suidae. The record is from RNAcentral.